GGCUUUGAAUGUAGUGGUUAUCACGCAUCCUUCACACGGAUGAGGCCGCCGGUUCGACCCCGGCAUUGGUCA
RNAcentral lists this transfer RNA (72 nucleotides) under Cyphobasidiales sp. Tagirdzhanova-0007. Its description in RNAcentral is "tRNA-Val". It matches the Rfam family "tRNA". From Rfam's summary of the family: Transfer RNA (tRNA) molecules are approximately 80 nucleotides in length. Their secondary structure includes four short double-helical elements and three loops (D, anti-codon, and T loops). Lineage: Eukaryota; Fungi; Basidiomycota; Cystobasidiomycetes; Cyphobasidiales. The record is from RNAcentral.